RNAcentral lists this ribosomal RNA (433 nucleotides) under uncultured bacterium. Its description in RNAcentral is "partial 16S ribosomal RNA". It matches the Rfam family "Bacterial small subunit ribosomal RNA", at positions 29 to 507 of the family's 1533-position model. The record is from RNAcentral.
AACGAACGCUGGCGGCAUACCUAACACAUGCAAGUCGAACGAGACCUUCGGGUCUAGUGGCGCACGGGUGCGUAACGCGUGGGAACCUGCCCUUAGGUUCGGAAUAACUCCCCGAAAGGGGUGCUAAUACCGGAUAAUGUCUUCGGACCAAAGAUUUAUCGCCUUUGGAUGGGCCCGCGUUGGAUUAGCUAGUUGGUAGGGUAAAAGCCUACCAAGGCGACGAUCCAUAGCUGGUCUGAGAGGAUGAUCAGCCACACUGGGACUGAGACACGGCCCAGACUCCUACGGGAGGCAGCAGUGGGGAAUAUUAGACAAUGGGCGAAGGCCUGAUACAGCAACGCCGCGUGAGUGAUGAAGGCCUUAGGGUUGUAAAGCUCUUUUAGCCGGGAUGAUAAUGACAGUACCGGGAGAAUAAGCACCGGCUAACUCCGUG